UACGUAGGGUGCAAGCGUUGUCCGGAAUUAUUGGGCGUAAAGAGCUCGUAGGCGGUCUGUCGCGUCGAUCGUGAAAACUUGGGGCUUAACCCUGAGCUUGCGGUCGAUACGGGCAUGACUGGAGUUCGGCAGGGGAGACUGGAAUUCCUGGUGUAGCGGUGAAAUGCGCAGAUAUCAGGAGGAACACCGGUGGCGAAGGCGGGUCUCUGGGCCGAUACUGACGCUGAGGAGCGAAAGCGUGGGGAGCGAACAGG
This 254-nucleotide ribosomal RNA is filed under the name uncultured bacterium. RNAcentral's name for it is "partial 16S ribosomal RNA". It matches the Rfam family "Bacterial small subunit ribosomal RNA", at positions 524 to 776 of the family's 1533-position model. The record is from RNAcentral.